AGCAGCCGCGGUAAUUCCAGCUCCAAUAGCGUAUAUUAAAGUUGCUGCAGUUAAAAAGCUCGUAGUUGAAUUUCGGGACUAAUAUGUCGGUCGUGCCUCGGUACGUACUGGCUUAUUGGUUUCUCCUUUCUGAAGAACCAUGAUGUCAUUUAUUUGGUGUCGUGGGGAAUCAGGACUGUUACUUUGAAAAAAUUAGAGUGUUUAAAGCAGGCUCACGCUUGAAUACAUUAGCAUGGAAUAAUGAAAUAGGACGUUUGAUUCUAUUUUGUUGGUUUCUAGGAUCGACGUAAUGAUUAAUAGGGAUAGUUGGGGGCAUUAGUAUUCAAUUGUCAGAGGUGAAAUUCUUGGAUUUAUUGAAGACUAACUACUGCGAAAGCAUUUGCCAAGGAUGUUUUCAUUAAUCAAGAACGAAAGUUAGGGGAUCGAAGACGAUCAGAUACCGUCGUAGUCUUAACCAUAAACUAUGCCGACUAGGGAUCGGAUGAUGUUAAUUUUUAAUGACUCAUUCGGCGCCUUACGG
RNAcentral lists this ribosomal RNA (520 nucleotides) under uncultured Glomus. RNAcentral's name for it is "SSU rRNA". It matches the Rfam family "Eukaryotic small subunit ribosomal RNA", at positions 569 to 1093 of the family's 1831-position model. Lineage: Eukaryota; Fungi; Glomeromycota; Glomeromycetes; Glomerales; Glomeraceae. The record is from RNAcentral.